RNAcentral lists this ribosomal RNA (448 nucleotides) under uncultured bacterium. RNAcentral's name for it is "bacterial SSU rRNA". It matches the Rfam family "Bacterial small subunit ribosomal RNA", at positions 28 to 466 of the family's 1533-position model. The record is from RNAcentral.
GAUGAACGCUAGCUACAGGCUUAACACAUGCAAGUCGAGGGGCAGCAUGGUCUUAGCUUGCUAAGGCCGAUGGCGACCGGCGCACGGGUGAGUAACACGUAUCCAACCUGCCGUCUACUCUUGGACAGCCUUCUGAAAGGAAGAUUAAUACAAGAUGGCAUCAUGAGUCCGCAUGUUCACAUGAUUAAAGGUAUUCCGGUAGACGAUGGGGAUGCGUUCCAUUAGAUAGUAGGCGGGGUAACGGCCCACCUAGUCUUCGAUGGAUAGGGGUUCUGAGAGGAAGAUCCCCCACAUUGGAACUGAGACACGGUCCAAACUCCUACGGGAGGCAGCAGUGAGGAAUAUUGGUCAAUGGGCGAGAGCCUGAACCAGCCAAGUAGCGUGAAGGAUGACUGCCCUAUGGGUUGUAAACUUCUUUUAUAAAGGAAUAAAGUCGGGUAUGGAUACC